GAUAUUGAUAACGACGGUGAAGCCUCUGCUAUCGCCGACUCAGCAAGCGAUGAUCAAUCUCAAUGUUUCGUUGAAAUAAAUCUUGAUAACGACAAUGCAGCCUGCGCUAGAGCCGACUCAAGGAGCGAUCUUGAUGACGUCGCGGAAGCCUUCGCCAACCUAGACUCGAGGAGCG
Helicoverpa zea (corn earworm) is the source of this 175-nucleotide long non-coding RNA. RefSeq lists it as uncharacterized. NCBI's taxonomy places the organism in Eukaryota, Metazoa, Arthropoda, Insecta, Lepidoptera, Noctuidae. The transcript is spliced from 3 exons. The record is from RefSeq and is a predicted model, not a curated record.